RNAcentral lists this ribosomal RNA (409 nucleotides) under uncultured bacterium. RNAcentral describes it as "bacterial SSU rRNA". It matches the Rfam family "Bacterial small subunit ribosomal RNA", at positions 64 to 507 of the family's 1533-position model. The record is from RNAcentral.
GAACGCUCUUCCAUUUCGGUGGAAGGGAGUGGCGGACGGGUGAGUAUCACGUGGCUACCUAUCCCCAGGUGAGGAAUACCGGCGAGAAAUCGCCGACAAGACCGCAUACGCUCUGCAAAGAGCAAAGCCUUCGGGCGCCAGGGGAGGGGGCUGCGUCGGAUUAGCUAGUUGGUGAGGUAACGGCCCACCAAGGCUUAGAUCAGUAGCCGGCCUGAGAGGGCGCACGGCCACACUGGAACUGAAACACGGUCCAGACUCCUACGGGAGGCAGCAGUGGGGAAUUUUGCGCAAUGGGGGAAACCCUGACGCAGCAAUGCCGCGUGGAGGAUGAAGUCCCUUGGGAUGUAAACUCCUUUCGAUCGGGACGAUUAUGACGGUACCGGAAGAAGAAGCACCGGCUAACUCUGUG